RNAcentral lists this ribosomal RNA (497 nucleotides) under uncultured bacterium. RNAcentral's name for it is "partial 16S ribosomal RNA". It matches the Rfam family "Bacterial small subunit ribosomal RNA", at positions 28 to 507 of the family's 1533-position model. The record is from RNAcentral.
GAUGAACGCUGGCGGCGUGCCUAAUACAUGCAAGUCGAGCGAACAGACGAGGAGCUUGCUCCUCUGACGUUAGCGGCGGACGGGUGAGUAACACGUGGAUACCCUACCUAUAAGACUGGGAUCACUUCGGGAAACCGGAGCUAAUACCGGAUAAUAUAUUGAACCGCAUGGUUCAAUAGUGAAAGACGGUUUUGCUGUCACUUAUCGAUGGAUCCGCGCCGCAUUAGCUAGUUGGUACGGUAACGGCUUACCAAGGCGACGAUGCGUAGCCGACCUGAGAGGGUGAUCGGCCACCUUGGAGCUGAGACACGGUCCAGACUCCUACGGGAGGCAGCAGUAGGGAAUCGUCCGCAGUGGGCGAGAGCCUGACGGAGCAACGCGGCGUGAGUGAUGAAGGUCUUCGGAUCGUAAAACUCGGUUAUUAGGGAAGAACAAAUGUGUAAGGAACUAUGCACGUCGUGACGGUACCUAAUCAGAAAGCCACGGCUAACUACGUG